This 412-nucleotide long non-coding RNA is filed under the name Zostera marina. RNAcentral describes it as "long non-coding RNA (ZMAR_LNC003244)". The record is from RNAcentral. Lineage: Eukaryota; Viridiplantae; Streptophyta; Magnoliopsida; Alismatales; Zosteraceae.
CUGCUCCUCGUGCUGCUCCUUCCUAUGCUCAAUAAAUCCUCGAUUGAUCUGGCCGAAGCGACAGAUCUAUCGUGCUCAUGGUGUGACAGCUUCUGGCCAAAGCGACAGAAGUGUCGGGAAGAGUUUAUGAUACUCCCCCCCGAAUUUUGGCGACUUCUGGCCGAAGCGACAGAAGUGCCGGGAUGAGCUCGUGAUACUCCCCCCUUGAGAUCAUUAAGGCCGAAGCGUCAAAAUGACCCCUGGUCUACUAAGGCCGAAGCGACGAAGCAGACCGACUCACUAUCAGAGUCUGAUUCUGACCAAGGCUACAGAUCCACUAUCAGGAUCCGAUACUCGCCUCGGAUACAGAACCUAUUGAUUCACUAUUAGAAUCUGAUUCCGGUCGGGGCUACGAAUUCACUAUUAGAAUCCG